This 253-nucleotide ribosomal RNA is filed under the name uncultured bacterium. Its description in RNAcentral is "partial 16S ribosomal RNA". It matches the Rfam family "Bacterial small subunit ribosomal RNA", at positions 524 to 776 of the family's 1533-position model. The record is from RNAcentral.
UACAGAGGGGGCAAGCGUUGUUCGGAAUUACUGGGCGGAAAGGGCUCGUAGGCGGCCAACUAAGUCCGACGUGAAAUCCCCAGGCUUAACCUGGGAACUGCGUCGGAUACUGGAUGGCUUGAAUUCGGGAGAGGGAUGCAGAAUUCCAGGUGUAGCGGUGAAAUGCGUAGAUAUCAGGAGGAACACCGGUGGCGAAGGCGGUUCUCUGGGCAUUACCUGACGCUGAGGAGCGAAAGCAUGGGGAGCGAACAGG